RNAcentral lists this ribosomal RNA (480 nucleotides) under uncultured bacterium. RNAcentral's name for it is "SSU rRNA". It matches the Rfam family "Bacterial small subunit ribosomal RNA", at positions 26 to 518 of the family's 1533-position model. The record is from RNAcentral.
AGAAUGAACGUUGGCGGCGUGGAUUAGGCAUGCAAGUCGAACGGAUUUGGUAGCAAUACCAGGUCAGUGGCGUAAGGGUGAGUAAGGCGACGGCAACCAACCCCAUGGUUGGGCAUAGCCGCGGGAAACUGCGGGUAAUUCCCAGCGAUGUUUAGACCGGGCAUCCGGUUUAAACCAAAGUUCUGGCGCCGUGGGACGGGCCGUCGUGGUAUUAGGUAGUUGGCGGGGUAAUGGCCCACCAAGCCUCUGAUGCCUACCGGGCGUGCGAGCGUGGCCCGGCACACUGGGACUGAGACACUGCCCAGACUCCUACGGGAGGCUGCAGUCGAGAAUCUUCGGCAAUGGGCGCAAGCCUGACCGAGCGACGCCGCGUGGAGGAUGAAGGCCCUUCGGGUUGUAAACUCCUGUCGAGGGGGAGGAAGGGGUAACCUUGACCUAGUCCCUGGAGGAAGCACGGGCUAAGUUCGCGCCAGCAGCCGC